AUGUCUGGGAAACUGCCUGAUGGAGGGGGAGUAACUACUGGAAACGGUAGCUAAUACCGCAUAACGUCGCAAGACCAAAGAGGGGGACCGUUCGGGCCUCUUGCCAUCGGAUGUGCCCAGAUGGGAUUAGCUAGUAGGUGGGGUAACGGCUCACCUAGGCGACGAUCCCUAGCUGGUCUGAGAGGAUGACCAGCCACACUGGAACUGAGACACGGUCCAGACUCCUACGGGAGGCAGCAUG
RNAcentral lists this ribosomal RNA (241 nucleotides) under uncultured bacterium. RNAcentral's name for it is "partial 16S ribosomal RNA". It matches the Rfam family "Bacterial small subunit ribosomal RNA", at positions 113 to 353 of the family's 1533-position model. The record is from RNAcentral.